Molecule: ribosomal RNA, 253 nt
Filed under: uncultured bacterium
Lineage: Bacteria
Description: partial 16S ribosomal RNA
Rfam family: Bacterial small subunit ribosomal RNA
Source: RNAcentral
UACGAAGGGGGCUAGCGUUGCUCGGAAUCACUGGGCGUAAAGCGCACGUAGGCGGCUUUCUAAGUCAGGGGUGAAAUCCUGGAGCUCAACUCCAGAACUGCCUUCGAUACUGGCGAUCUUGAGUCUGGGAGAGGUGAGUGGAACUCCGAGUGUAGAGGUGAAAUUCGUAGAUAUUCGGAAGAACACCAGUGGCGAAGGCGGCUCACUGGCCCGGUACUGACGCUGAGGUGCGAAAGCGUGGGGAGCAAACAGG